This 431-nucleotide ribosomal RNA is filed under the name uncultured bacterium. RNAcentral describes it as "partial 16S ribosomal RNA". It matches the Rfam family "Bacterial small subunit ribosomal RNA", at positions 29 to 507 of the family's 1533-position model. The record is from RNAcentral.
AACGAACGCUGGCGGCAGGCUUAACACAUGCAAGUCGAGCGCCCCGCCAGGGGAGCGGCUGCCGGGUGAGUAACGCGUGGGAACGUACCUUUUGGUUCGGAACAACUCCGGGAAACUGGAGCUAAUACCGGAUAAGCCCUAACGGGGAAAGAUUUAUCGCCGAACGAUCGGCCCGCGUCUGAUUAGCUAGUUGGUGAGGUAACGGCUCACCAAGGCGACGAUCAGUAGCUGGUCUGAGAGGAUGAUCAGCCACACUGGGACUGAGACACGGCCCAGACUCCUACGGGAGGCAGCAGUGGGGAAUAUUGGACAAUGGGCGCAAGCCUGAUCCAGCCAGGCCGCGUGAGUGAUGAAGGCCUUAGGGUUGUAAAGCUCUUUUGUCCGGGAAGAUAAUGACUGUACCGGAAGAAUAAGCCCCGGCUAACUUCGUG